This 6428-nucleotide long non-coding RNA is filed under the name Sus scrofa (pig). Its description in RNAcentral is "lncRNA (ENSSSCG00035041803.1)". Lineage: Eukaryota; Metazoa; Chordata; Mammalia; Artiodactyla; Suidae. The record is from RNAcentral.
GCUUACUGCCGGGGAGCAAAAUGCAGGUUUUAAAGACAAGAACGCUAUUUUUAUAAACAACCAGGACGGCAGUAGAAGGUUUAUUUGGAAAUUCCAGCCCUGGAGAGGCGUCGCUUGCAAACCCCAGACUGAACCCUGUCUCCUGGAAAGAGAAGUGUUGAGGCAGAGCCUGGAAGCGCAGGCAGAGGGGACCGGCCACCCGCAGACCACUCGCCCUCGAGGUCGUUGGUGUGCUGGGUGGCGGCUGACCCCUGCCACCCCUGCCCAUGCUGCCUACAAAGGAAAUGGCGUGUUUGACCAGUGGAAGGCAUCCUUGUGGGUCGGAGGGACUAGAGCCGGUCACACAGGCGGCCUCCCAACCCCAGGCCGAAGCCGGCAAGUGCUACCAACCUGGGCUCUUUUCCCUUCCCAGAAAAUCUCUGCUUAACAUUGACCAGCCCGCUGCUGUGUAUAAACCGAUCCAAGAGGAACCAGUUAACCUGCUACGUGAACAAGAUUUCAGCAUCAAACUGUGGGCAGUGGAGGCCUCCAGUUGUAAAACUCCCAGUUGACAGAUGACACACACCUGAUGUUCAUGAAAAGUCCAUGCGUCCAGCGUAAACAGUCAGAGUGUGGCCUGUCCCUGGAGGCCCUAGAAACCGUGGUGGCAGCUCAGGGAUGGGGCGGGCCUGCAAGUGUGGGCCGGAGUCUCCAAGCUGAAUUCGGACCUCUCUCUUUUAAACCUCAUAGCGACUUCCCUCCAGUGACCCCCUGUACGGAGAUGUGCUGUCGAGGCCAAGAGCAGGGAGUGGACUGCAGAGAGAGGGUCUCUGGGUGGCUUUGGGACUCUGCUCCCUACAUUGCCCCAGACUGCAGGCCGCAAGGUCCACUCCACCAGCUGACCUGGUGUUUCGGCGAAGGACUGUGGCCUGGCUUUCUAAAGUCCUCUGGCUGCAGAGUGCAGCCUGGUGGGUGCCACUGAGUUCAUUUCACAGACCUGGUCUGUGUAACAGAAAAGGGACUGAACGUGGACUGAGGAGUCAGGAGCCACGUUCAAGGCAGAUUAAUCUAGGCUGUAGAAGCCAGAGAGCGGUGCGGGCUUUCCUGGGAAGGGGCGUGGCGGGGGAGGAUGCUGGGGGGGGCGCGGAGUUUGUGGGUGACGGAGAUGGUCUGUAUGCUUCACACAAGUGUGCACGUGUCAGAAUUCCUCGCAUGGCACUGAAGAUCUAGGCGUUUUAUUGAAUGUAAAAAGCGCCGUUUUUAAAAGGGCACGUUCAGUUCCUGGCCUCUCUCUCACUCUCUGUGUAGACGGGCUCUUCGCCUCUGGAGCCUUGCUUUCCUACCUGUAAAACGCUGGGCUGUGCGUGGUCGUGGGUAUUAAAUGAGACCUCGUGGGUCCAGAGCACUUUGGAAAUGAUGGCAAGACUCACACACGGGGACUCCCAGGUUAUGUUUGCCAUCCAGCCUCCCUCUGAGCAGAUCACUGAGCUCGUACAAACCUGUGGACGCUGCCUCGCUACUUCCUUGGAGAUUAGUGUUUAUCUGUCUAUUUUAAGGAGACUCUGGAGGUAUCAAAACGCUGCAGAAAAGCAAAUGGAAUAUGGCUUUGCCGGGGAGUGGAGAGAGGGCUGGAAGGGAACAGCUGGGGAGAAAGCCGUCAAUCCAGCUUGGCAGCAGGGCCAGCCGGAUGCCAGGAGGGAGUCGCUAAAUGCCUGCGAGAGAGUCGUGACCAGGAAAAGCAGCGAGAGUUAAAAAAAAAUCACAUCUUGCCAAACAAACUGGGUCACAUUCGUGAUGGAGUUAGUCACUGAGCAGAGACAGGAAAGCACUUUCAGGGGAAAAAGCAAAAUGUUUGGGGGCCAUGUGACUCGGCUGGAAGUGGCAAAGGUCACUUGCGCCUCCUGGCCCAGUCUGGUCAUGAAGUAGAAGAUUCUUCAACGUGUCUUGUUGGUACCGGGGGUUUGAACUUGAUCUUUGCUCCUAACAGCAGGCACAAACAACCUUUGCAGUGGAAGCAAGAGCAUAGCACACAUCUUAAAAUGGAAAAGCCGGGCUCCUGACCACGACACAGGCAGAGUCUUUCCACUUGGGAACUUUAAAGUCAGAGCAGAGAACGUAUGCCCUUUGGCAGCAAAAUCCUAUACCAGGAACAAACAACGCUGAUAGCAAAUUUUAGAUUGUUAGCCACUAAAAUAAAAGCAGGGCAAGAUUGAACAGGAAGAAAUAGUCUACAAGAGAAAUCUGAUGUGUGAAAUUUUUAUUUUAUCCUCAUUAUAAAAAUUUUGGUGCUUUCUGCUAGAGAUUUCUGCCAAGAACUGUGAUAUGCUGAAAAAGAAGAGGAAAUGUACUUGAGAUGCUGUGACUAUAAAAGGCUGUUUAAAGUGACGGGAACCAGUGGGGUCUCCAAUGACCAAGGUUAUAAAAUUAGGAUCUUUACCAAAUCUGGGUGAAAAGAAAAAAACUGGAGUAAAAGCAACAGUGGCGUCUACCUUAGUAUAACUUAGGUUUUCCCACAAUAUGUGCCUUUUCUUGGGUCGUGUCAGAUCUCUUACGUUGUUAAUUCCCUGUUCCAAGAGCUGUCCCUCUUGGAACAAGGCGGGGAGCUGGGGAGAGGAGCUGGGGAGAGGAGGCAUGGUGAGGAAGCGGGAGUGUCUUUCUUGUGACCUCUGAAUCCAGGUGGAAAGAGGGCUCCACCCGACACUGUCACAGGCACGCGGUCCAGUGCUCCAGGUGUGGAGCAAGCCUAGGCAGGAGGAGCCUCCUCCCGAACCAGGUCUCAGUGUCACUGGAAAUCUGAUGCCUCAAGCCUCCACCUCUGCACUCAGUGCCCGCCUCUUCUAGCUGUACCACUGUCACUUGGCAUGUGCAGUCUGAGCCAGGCCUUUGCAUCCUAAAGCAGGCUCUGUGUAUGUCUUUCACCCUUUUCUUUCAGGUCUUCCAAAAUAGUAGAAGAUACAGUUUCUCCCCAGUUCAGCUAUGGGCUGUGAGUCCCAAGAGAAUCCUUCAUUUCUCCCUGGCUUUAGGACUUUCUGACUUGGGUUUAAAGCUCAGGUCCAUCCCGUUGCUCAUUGGCCAGUGGGGAAACCUCUGAGAACACUGAUUUUCUUGCCUUGAGGGGAGGCACGGAGUAAGUAAGCAGCCGAUGCACAAGCUAUCAUUAGUUGCUUAACAUUUUUGCUGAUGGCUUGAAUGGGUCUCAUUCGUAAGGUAGCCAGUUAUCGCUAAUGGAUAGAGGAGAGCAAGCAAGAGAGACUCAUGAUCCUCAAAAUGGUGUUUUUGUCCCAAGUCACCUUUCCCAGUACUGAACUUGGGGACAUGUCAUUUUUAUUUUUCUUUUUUUAAACGGUAUCUAUUUAUUUUUUGUCUCUUUGCCUUUUCUAGGGCCGCUCCCGUGGCAUAUGGAGGUUCCCAGGCUAGGGGUCUAAUCGGAACUGUAGCCACCAGCCUACGCCAGAGCCACAGCAACGCGGGAUCCAAGCCACAUCUGCGACCUACACCACAGCUCACGGCCACACUGGAUCCCCAACCCACUGAGCAAAGCCAGGGAUCGAACCCGCAACCUCAUGGUUCCUAGUCGGAUUCGUUUCUGCUGCGCCCCCACAGGAACUCACGGGAUGUGUCAUUUAAUGGCAGCACCUGUGUGUUCCUGUGAUCUAAGAAAUCUGCGUUAGGUCUUCAUUCCUCAUUCCCAGCACAAGAGCUUCCGAAGCCCUGGGAAUUUCCUGAGUAGUAAGUCUGAGAGGAGCUUCUUGUGUUAUUCAUAAUAAGCCCCUUUCGACCAAACCUGUUUUUUUGUUGCUGUUGUUGUUGUUGUUUGUUUGUUUGUUUUUACAGUAGUGAAGUUACUUUUGUUUGGAGUGGUGGUGGCUUGAGAGCUUCAGGAUGGGGGCUGUUUGCCAGAGGAACCAACUCUGUGAUUAGAUGUUGGAAUUUUCAGCCCCACCUUCUGGCCUUUUGGGAGGGGAGAGGGGCUGGAGUCUGAAUUAAUCACCAAAUAGCCAAUGAUUUGAUCAGUUAUACUUAUGUAAUGAAAGUUUCAUCAGAACCCCUAAAUGAUGGAGUUUAGAGAGCUUCUGGGUUGGUGAACACGCUGAGGGUUCUGGGAGGGUGAUGUGCCCAGAGGGGGCAUGGAAGCCCCACCUACCCCUCCCCUGAUCCCUUGCCCCAGGCGUCUCUUCCAUUUGACUCUUCAUUUGUAAUAAACUGGUACUAGUAAGUCAAGUAUUUCCCUGAGUUCUGACAGAUGAUUGAAUCUGAAGAGGGAGUUGUGGGAACCUCUUCACUUCAUAGCUGGUCAGGUAAGAAGUACAGAUAGCAUCCCCCACACAUUUGGUGUCAGAAGUGUGAGCAGAAACCGGUCAUAACCUGUGAAGUAUGUUCAGGAGUCUGGCCCACAAAGUGCCCCUGUUGGGAUUGGGGCAGACAGGGUGAUCUGAUGUGUUAGAGUUCCUUAGUUGCAGGCGAUGGAAGGGGACUCUCAGUGUGGAAGACUUGGCUGAAAAGGCACGAAGAGCUGUUGGAUGCUGAAGGACCAAGCCUCAGGAAGAAGAGGGUUGGGCCACUAGCAGGAAUGAAUGGACAGAUCCUGUGUCUCCCCCCAACCCCAUCAGAACGUCUCCACUCUCGUGGCUUAUGUUACAUCAUUUUCCCCAAAGCUCAAAACCCGAGCACCCAGAGUCUAAAUGGCCUAAACUGGGUUCUCUGUGCCACGAUUCUCCAGGAGGAGGGGCAGGGGGAACCUUGACUGAGAUGCCCUCAGAACGUCUCAGAAUCAGUGAAGAGCAAUUCCCUCACGGAAAGUCGGGGCGUUUUUACCCAAAAAAGUGGAAAGGCAUGUUUGACAGGCCAAAGAAAGGGAUCUCCGGCGUGCCAAUUUUAGGCCCCACUGUUUACAAGAAAGGAGUAAGAAAAACAAGGAAAUGAUUUCACUUUGUCCUUCCCCUGGCUAUAAUCAGGGCCUCUUCUGGGCAGCACCCUUUCAGAGGCGUUUGACUGCUUGGGAGGCUUUCCAAAGAGUAACUAGGAUGGUGAACACCUGGAAAACAUGACACAUGAGAAACGGGUGAAGAACUGAGGAGGUUGAGCCCAGAGAAGACAAGACUGAGCGGGCAUCUAAUGGCAGUUCUCAGGUACCCGAAGGUCUGGUAUGUAGAAAAAGGAGAAUUUUGUAUUUAAUGGCCAUACAAGGAACUGAAACCGGUAAACAUUUUAAAGGGGAACAGAUUUUGGCUCAGUUGAGUAUAUAUGAGAAAGAUCUUUCGAAAAAUCAACAGCUGGAAAUAAAUGAGUUGGCGCAAGGUAGGGAACUUUCCAUCCCCGGGAAGCCUCAGUUCUUUAAUUAGCAAGAGCUGUGAGCACACACCUCACAUCAGGUUACAACACAUCAUGCCAUGGCCCUGCUGCUGAGGACCCUGACCAAGGGCCCUCAAGGGGACAGCGCUCCCUGUUCGGCCGCAUCUGCUGCAGAUCACGUUUCCAUCUGUGGAGCUCUGGGUGUGCACAGUGUGAGCGGUGACGGACAGGGCAGACAGAAAGGCCUCUGCGUAGCCUCUCUCACCACCUGCCCAGGGCCACAUGGUGCAGGCAGACCACGUGCGAGUCCUUAAUUUAGAGCCUUGCUUCACCCGGGGCCUCUCUUGGGAUGCGUCGUAUUAACGUGUAUCCUUCAUGCACCUCUCAGUGUGAACCAGGUCCACAUCUUGCUUUAUCACUGAACGACAUUCCGAAAAAAAUAUGUGCAGUCUUUUGGGCUAUGCCUUCUAUCAGAAAGCUACAAUAUCAGAGUUGGAAAGGAUUCUGUGAUCAAUGAAUUUACAAAUGCUUGAAUAUAUCCAAUAGCACUCUUUUUUUUUUUUUUUUUUAAAUGGUCACACCUGGGGCGUACAUAAAUUCCUAGGCUGGGGAUUGAUUUCCUUAAAACACUCACAAUCUCCUGGGCAUCUCUCCAGAGAAAACCAUGACUUGAAAAUAUAGAUGUGCUCCAGAGUUCACUGCAGUACUAUAUACAGUAGCCAAGACAUGGAAACAACCUAAAUGUCCAUCAACAGAGGAGUGGAUCAAGAAGAUGUGGUACAUAUACACAAUGGAAUAUUACUCAGCCAUUAAAAGGAAAUAACGGCAUUUGCAGCAACAUGGCUGGACCUGGAGAUUGUCAUGCUAAGUGAAGUCAGUCAAGACAGUGAGAUACCAACAUCAUAUGCUAUCACUUGUGAAAUUAAAAAAAAGGACAGAAUGACCUUCUUUGCAGAGCAGAUACUGACUCACAGACUUUGAAAAACUUAUGGUCUCCAAAUGAGACAGGUUGGGGGGUGGAGGGGUGCGCUGGGGGUUUGGGAUAGAAAUGCUGUACAAUCGUGUUGUGAUGAUCGUUGUACAGAUAUAAAUCUAAUAAAAUUCAUUGAGUGACUUAAAACAAUUUAAAAAAAUAAAAGGGAAAAAAAAAAAAAAAA